AGGACGAACGCUGGCAGCGUGCUUAACACAUGCAAGUCGAGCGGAAAGGCCUUUCGGGGUACUCGAGCGGCGAACGGGUGAGUAACACGUGAGUAAUCUGCCCAUCGCUUCAGGAUAGCCAUCGGAAACGGUGAUUAAUACUGGAUAUGACAUUCCUUCGCAUGUUGGGGUGUGGAAAGUUUUUUCGGCGGUGGAUGUGCUCGCGGCCUAUCAGCUUGUUGGCGGGGUAAUGGCCUACCAAGGCUUUGACGGGUAGCCGGCCUGAGAGGGUGACCGGCCACACUGGGACUGAGACACGGCCCAGACUCCUACGGGAGGCAGCAGUGGGGAAUAUUGGACAAUGGGCGGAAGCCUGAUCCAGCAACGCCGCGUGAGGAUGACGGCCUUCGGGUUGUAACCUCUUCAGCACAGACGAAGUUUGCUUUUUUGGUGAAGUGGCGGUAUGUGCAGAAGAAGGACCGGCAACUACGUGCCAGCAGCCGC
Molecule: ribosomal RNA, 483 nt
Filed under: uncultured soil bacterium
Lineage: Bacteria
Description: bacterial SSU rRNA
Rfam family: Bacterial small subunit ribosomal RNA
Source: RNAcentral